RNAcentral lists this ribosomal RNA (619 nucleotides) under uncultured Russula. RNAcentral's name for it is "eukaryotic LSU rRNA". The stretch from base 183 to 336 matches the Rfam family "5.8S ribosomal RNA". The record is from RNAcentral. Lineage: Eukaryota; Fungi; Basidiomycota; Agaricomycetes; Russulales; Russulaceae.
ACAACCGAGGUGCAAAGGCUGUCGCUGACCCUCAAAGGUUGUGCACGCCCGAGCGCUCUCACACAAUCCAUCUCACCUUUGUGCAUCGCCGCGUGGGUCCCCUUUGCGGGAGGGCUCGCGUUUUCACAUAAUAACUCGAUACAGUGUAGAAUGUUUCUUUUGCGGUCACACGCAAUCAAUACAACUUUCAACAACGGAUCUCUUGGCUCUCGCAUCGAUGAAGAACGCAGCGAAACGCGAUACGUAAUGUGAAUUGCAGAAUUCAGUGAAUCAUCGAAUCUUUGAACGCACCUUGCGCCCCUUGGCAUUCCGAGGGGCACACCCGUUUGAGUGUCGUGAAUUCUUCAAAACCCUCUUUUCUUCGAACCAUCGUGGUCGGGAAAAGGAUUUUUGGACUUGGAGGUUUAAUGCUCGCCCUUUCUUUUGAAAGCGAGCUCCUCUCAAAUGAAUUAGUGGGGUCCGCUUUGCUGAUCCUUGACGUGAUAAAAUGUUUCUACGUUUUGGGUUUAGCACUGUCGCUUGGAUGCCUGCUCCUAACCCGUCUCAUUGACAAUGAUGGUGCUCUGGUCACUGCCGUCUACAUCGGCGGGAGGCUGGACCCACAAAAAGAAAACCUUGA